This 380-nucleotide unclassified non-coding RNA is filed under the name fungal sp. RNAcentral describes it as "partial internal transcribed spacer region". The stretch from base 1 to 46 matches the Rfam family "Eukaryotic small subunit ribosomal RNA", at positions 1786 to 1831 of the family's 1831-position model. The record is from RNAcentral. Lineage: Eukaryota; Fungi.
AAGUCGUAACAAGGUUUCCGUAGGUGAACCUGCGGAAGGAUCAUUAACACGUAUCCAACGUUAAACCCCCCUGUGAACUUUUAUACUUGCUCUCUUAACUGACGGAAUUGCAAUCCCUGGUAAAUCAUUGUUGAACAGAUUUUGAUUCAGGGACCUCAGUUUGGCAGUUAGGAUUGAGCGAUCGUUGCAAGUGGCCUGGUUUCCCCAAGCAGUCAGUGUCUGAAAGUGGCAUUGAUUGCGUAAGGAUAACGCUUUUCGAUCACUGGAGGCCGACACCGGCCGGUGACCAGGUCGCCGUGGCUUCGCUACCUGAUUCCGCCUCGUAGGAAACUGCUGGGCAACAAAACGAACAACUGUUAACAAUGGAUAUCUUGGUUCUC